AUACGUAGGGUGCAAGCGUUAAUCGGAAUUACUGGGCGUAAAGCGUGCGCAGGCGGCUUUGUAAGACAGAGGUGAAAUCCCCGGGCUCAACCUGGGAACCGCCUUUGUUACUGCAAGGCUAGAGAACGGCAGAGGGGGAUGGAAUUCCGCCUUGAGCAGGGAAAUGCGUAGAUAUGCGGAGGAACACCGAUGGAGAAGGCAAUCCCCUGGGCCUGUACUGACGCUCAUGCACGAAAGCGUGGGGAGCAAACAGGAUUAGAUACCCUGGUAGUCCACGCCCUAAACGAUGUCAACUGGUUGUUGGGUCUUUAUUGACUCAGUAACGAAGCUAACGCGUGAAGUUGACCGCCUGGGGAGUACGGCCGCAAGGUUGAAACUCAAAUGAAUUGACGGGU
RNAcentral lists this ribosomal RNA (395 nucleotides) under uncultured bacterium. Its description in RNAcentral is "partial 16S ribosomal RNA". It matches the Rfam family "Bacterial small subunit ribosomal RNA", at positions 523 to 918 of the family's 1533-position model. The record is from RNAcentral.